Molecule: ribosomal RNA, 344 nt
Filed under: uncultured bacterium
Lineage: Bacteria
Description: bacterial SSU rRNA
Rfam family: Bacterial small subunit ribosomal RNA
Source: RNAcentral
UACGACGUAUCAGAGUUUGAUCCUGGCUCAGGACGAACGCUGGCGGCGUGCUUAACACAUGCAAGUCGAACGGAGCUAUUGGAGAGCUUGCUCGAAGAUAGCUUAGUGGCGAACGGGUGAGUAACGCGUGAGUAACCUGUCUCAUACAGGGGGAUAACACUUGGAAACAGGUGCUAAUACCGCAUAAGACCACAGAGUCGCAUGAUUCAGAGGUCAAAGAUUUAUCGGUAUGAGGUGGGCUCGCGUCUGAUUAGAUAGUUGGUGAGGUAACGGCUCACCAAGUCGACGAUCAGUAGCCGACCUGAGAGGGUGAUCGGCCACAUUGGAACUGAGAUACGGUCCAA